GCCUUGGGCUACCAGCUGCUCCGCCAGACCAUACAGUCUGUCUUCCCGGAAAUCAACAUUGUUGUCCCAGGUACAUGUGUUGUCAGCACAGACAGCAAACACUAUUUGAACCUCACCACUGGCAUCUACCUGUUCAACCCCCUCUACCUGCAGCCGCAGAGCUUCUGCACGUGAAUUCCACAGUUGGCAGUUACCGGUGAA
RNAcentral lists this long non-coding RNA (201 nucleotides) under Sus scrofa (pig). Its description in RNAcentral is "lncRNA (ENSSSCG00050035783.1)". Lineage: Eukaryota; Metazoa; Chordata; Mammalia; Artiodactyla; Suidae. The record is from RNAcentral.